UUCAUUUGCAGCCCAUCCUGGCGCAGAACAAAUUGAGGCCUCCGACGAGUUUCAGUGUUGUCGCUGUUUUUAGUUUUUUUAACACAUUUUUUUUUAUUUUCUUUUUUAUUUUGAACUGGAUUGAGGAAAAUAAACAACAAGCUAUAAUUCUAAGCACGCUGGGCUAUGUCAGGGAAGUUGAAAAUCUCGAAUAAUUAUUCAAUUUUAUUCCUGCUCAAGCUUUUUUUAUUGUCAAGUGCAAGUGCUGGUCCUCGAACAUGCCUUAACCUCGGUGAAAAAUGCGAUGUGAAAAAUGACGAUUGCUGCAUUUUAAUGGAAUGUGUACCGAAAGGUGCAAACGCAUACUGUGUGUGCGAAAAAAGCUAUAAACCUGGAGGAGACCACAAUCAAGAAUGCUUUUAUGAUAUGCCACUUCUUGCGGAAAUUGGUAUAGGGAUGGUUGGGGUUUUGGCAGGCAUUGUAUUUUUAAGCUUUUUUAUGACACAAUGCAUCAUAAGAAGGAAUCGAAGGAGGCAGAUGGAAGCGGCAACCAAUUCACCAAAUCGAGGCGUUUUUGAAGGAAUCCAGAUUCCGGCGGAUUUGGCGGAAAAUGAAUCUGAAUCCGUGCGCCCCCAGCAAUGAGAAUAACCAAAAAGCAGUUACUGGGUGCAAUUAAAUAAAAACUUAUUUAACUUAUUAAGCUUUUUUGUAAAUUAAUGGAGGAGAGGGGAAAUAAAAUGUCAAAAAAUAUAAGAUUUUCUUCGUUUACGCGCUGUUCUUGUAAAUUGAAUAAAAAGUGAGAAACAUCAA
Long non-coding RNA from Neocloeon triangulifer, 789 nucleotides. RefSeq lists it as uncharacterized. Lineage: Eukaryota; Metazoa; Arthropoda; Insecta; Ephemeroptera; Baetidae. The record is from RefSeq and is a predicted model, not a curated record. The transcript has 4 exons.